CUCCAGCAGGCCACAAAUGUGCAUGUAUCUCCUCAAACGGUCAGAAACAGACUCCAUGAGGGUGGUAUGAGGGCCCGACGUCCACAGGUGGGGGUUAUGCUUACAGCCCAACACCGUGCAGGACGUUUGGCAUUUGCCAGAGAACACCCAGAUUGGCAAAUACGCCACUGGCGCCCUGUGCUCUUCACAGAUGAAAGCAGG
This is a non-coding RNA of Pelobates cultripes (western spadefoot toad), 201 nucleotides long. The record is from the annotation of a GenBank genome assembly. Lineage: Eukaryota; Metazoa; Chordata; Amphibia; Anura; Pelobatidae.